CCUACGGGCGGCAGCAGUGGGGAAUAUUGCACAAUGGGCGCAAGCCUGAUGCAGCCAUGCCGCGUGUGUGAAGAAGGCCUUCGGGUUGUAAAGCACUUUCAGCGGGGAGGAAGGCGGUGAGGUUAAUAACCUCAUCGAUUGACGUUACCCGCAGAAGAAGCACCGGCUAACUCCGUGCCAGCAGCCGCGGUAAUACGGAGGGUGCAAGCGUUAAUCGGAAUUACUGGGCGUAAAGCGCACGCAGGCGGUCUGUCAAGUCGGAUGUGAAAUCCCCGGGCUCAACCUGGGAACUGCAUUCGAACGUGGCAGGCUAGAGUCUUGGAGAGGGGGGUAGAAUUCCGGGGGUAGAGGGGAAAUGCGGAGAGAUCUGGAGGAAUCCCGGGGGCGAAGGCGGCCCCCUGGACAAAGACGGACGCUCAGGUGCGAAAGCGUGGGGAGCAAACAGGAUGAGAUACCCGAGAGUC
RNAcentral lists this ribosomal RNA (464 nucleotides) under uncultured Klebsiella sp. Its description in RNAcentral is "bacterial SSU rRNA". It matches the Rfam family "Bacterial small subunit ribosomal RNA", at positions 338 to 795 of the family's 1533-position model. Lineage: Bacteria; Pseudomonadati; Pseudomonadota; Gammaproteobacteria; Enterobacterales; Enterobacteriaceae. The record is from RNAcentral.